Long non-coding RNA from Lolium rigidum, 518 nucleotides. RefSeq lists it as uncharacterized. The transcript is spliced from 2 exons. The record is from RefSeq and is a predicted model, not a curated record. NCBI's taxonomy places the organism in Eukaryota, Viridiplantae, Streptophyta, Magnoliopsida, Poales, Poaceae.
AAUGAAUGAAUCGAUCAAUGAAGGUGAUAGGAAAGAAAAGAUUUUUCCGUGAAAAGUAAACGGUCGAUUAGACGCAGCUUGCCGCCUUGCCGGCCUGGUCUACUUCAAUCCGAAUUCUAGCCGCGAAUCCUGAUGGGUUAGCUAACCUUACUGGCUCUCCAUCUGCUUUGCCGGGAAAUAUGCGAGAUCGAUCGAUCCGACCAGUCGAGCUUAGCCAAUAACUUCAGCGCUUAUCAGCCUAAGCCUCAACCUGCUGCUGUUUGCUCCGAGGACACAUCAGCAGGGAUUUAGAGAAGAUGCCAUGAAGUUCAAGAGAGUAAAAGGACAUGUGAAAAAGGCGGAUCAGGAGAGCAAAAGGAUUAGGAGCCGCCGGAUGGACGGAAGAAGGACCAGAGAAUUCCAGCAACGCAACGACGAUCCGUUCUAAUCACCGGCCUGUAGCCAUCCAUCUUUCUUCCACUCAUGACGGGACAAGGUGCCCAGCCGGCCAUAUAAGCAAGAGAAAAGAUGAAAGGGCC